Eurytemora carolleeae is the source of this 256-nucleotide long non-coding RNA. RefSeq lists it as uncharacterized. The record is from RefSeq and is a predicted model, not a curated record. NCBI's taxonomy places the organism in Eukaryota, Metazoa, Arthropoda, Copepoda, Calanoida, Temoridae. The transcript has 3 exons.
AUUUUCAGCAGAGGAGGAGAUUCCAAAUGCCUUGAAAUCUAUCUUGGGACCCCCUCAGAAGCUUUGCUAGCUGAAAAUGAGAAUGUCAAGAUUAUUUUUGAAAAUGCGGAAAGUUUUCUAGAAUUUAAUAAGAAAAUAGAAAUUUGCUACUACAUCAUCAUUUUCAAGAAAAUUGGUUCCAUGGACGUAAGAUUCGGGACAGCAAGGCCUAGGCUUGUUAUUAUUUAUGAUCAAGAGUUCCAUCAAACAGAUUUAG